UCUUUUAGAUACACUACACUGCACUACACUGUACUAGUGGCACUAUAGUUGAUAUCACGUGAUCUCACGCCUUUCAAGCACGGGAGUGCAAGCAGUAUCUGAAAGCAGGAAACAAAUCGGGGAUAAAUGUAUGCGCGCGCAUGUGUAGCGAGUGGGACGUGAUUAACCUAAGAAAAAGAGAACCAAGAGAACGACUGUGACCAUAUGGCAACGAGAAUUUUGCGGGAAAGAAUUAUCGGAUCAAGAAUUUGCUAGGAAAUUUGCAAGGCUAAAUUUUAAUGUACAAUUUGUGUGUUACACAAAAAGUAGAAGUUUUACACCCAAUGCAUACAUUGCAAAACCUGACUUAUUUGCUUCAUACCGAAAUUAUUGAUCUUGGAAGAGAUUUUUGCGGGAAACAGAUAUCGGACCAAAAAUAUGCUAGGAAAGUUGCAAGACUAAAUAGUAAUGUACUACAUUUGUGUCUUACGCAAAAUACAAAACUAGUUUUACACUCAAUGCAUAUAUUGCAAAAUCUGAUGCAUUUGCUCAAUACCGAAAUUAGUGAUCACGGAAAAGAAUUUUGCGGGAAACAAAUAUCAGACUAAAAAUUUGCUAGGAAAGUUGCAAGACUAAAUAGUAAUGUACUACAUUUGUGCCUUACGCAAAAUACAAAACUAGAAGUUUUGCACCCAAUGCAUACAUUGCAAAAUCUGAUGCAUUUGCUAAAUACUGAAAUUAGUGAUUUUGGAAGAAUUGGACCAAUGGAAAUCAAUUUGUCUGUAAGAGCACAACUUCACAAUCGGUUAGUUCCCGACUACUCAAGAUAUGAAAUGUAGUGAAGAAAAGUAUGUGAUAUAAUGUAUGUGAUAUUAUAUGAUACGUGAUAUUAUGUGAUAUAUGAUUUUAUGUAAUAUACUCGUAGUAGGACUCGACGAUUAUAUUGUUGCUUAUUUGGAUACGUUAAUUUUUGUUAUUUGCAAGAAACUAACUUUGUAUUGCAUAUAUAAUUUAUGCAUAGAUAUAUUCAUUAAAUAUAUUUUUAUGCAGA
Molecule: long non-coding RNA, 1030 nt
Organism: Solenopsis invicta (red fire ant)
Lineage: Eukaryota; Metazoa; Arthropoda; Insecta; Hymenoptera; Formicidae
Exons: 5
Source: RefSeq, a predicted model, not a curated record